AUAACAAUACCGGGUUCUAUGAAUCUGGUAAUUGGAAUGAGUACAAUCUAAAUCCCGUAACGAGGAUCCAUUGGAGGGCAAGUCUGGUGCCAACAGUCGCGGUAAAUCCAUCUUCAG
Molecule: ribosomal RNA, 117 nt
Filed under: Solanum tuberosum (potato)
Lineage: Eukaryota; Viridiplantae; Streptophyta; Magnoliopsida; Solanales; Solanaceae
Description: rRNA SSU_rRNA_eukarya
Rfam family: Eukaryotic small subunit ribosomal RNA
Source: RNAcentral